UAAGGCAUCGAGUUUACAUUGGGUAACAUCGGAGAAGCCAUUGGCUUCAUAGCAGAAGCAGGCUGAGGGAACACGGAUGAUUUACUCUGGUGAAUUCCACUGUUUUCUAACUUGGAAGCAUGUUGCAGAUAUUCGGAACCAGAAGGAUUGCAGCUGGAUACAUUUUUACCGUUGUAUAUGUCGUAGAUAUGUAUAGGAACAUUACGCAUCUUACAAAUCUCACAAAAGGUUUGGUAGAUAUUAGGACGUUGCCAAGGAUAUUGCUGCAAUAAGGUUGAAAUUAGUCGCUUUAACCGAUCUGAAUAAGGUGGAAAGGUUGGAAAAGCGUAACUAACAUUCAUAAUAGCAGCAAGCCCUUGAUGUUCAAACGGAGUUGUGUAAUAGCAUAGUUUAUAGAACAAAACCCCUAGCGCCCAGAUA
Molecule: non-coding RNA, 420 nt
Organism: Schizosaccharomyces pombe (fission yeast)
Lineage: Eukaryota; Fungi; Ascomycota; Schizosaccharomycetes; Schizosaccharomycetales; Schizosaccharomycetaceae
Source: the annotation of a GenBank genome assembly